RNAcentral lists this long non-coding RNA (3156 nucleotides) under Amborella trichopoda. RNAcentral's name for it is "long non-coding RNA (ATRI_LNC000552)". Lineage: Eukaryota; Viridiplantae; Streptophyta; Magnoliopsida; Amborellales; Amborellaceae. The record is from RNAcentral.
UCUCUCUCUCUCUCUCUCUCUCUCUCUCUCUCUCUCUCUACGCGUCCCCUCUCUCUACCCUCUUUAAAAUUCUAAAAUUGUAUGGAAUGUUGGGUUUAUGUGGCCUUAUGAGAGCUUAUAUGAGCAUUGUAUAUAGUGAAACAUAAACUCAGUGGGAGUGUGGUCUUCUUAUAGACCAUACUAGGCAAAUGCAAUUUACCGAUACUGGGAUUAGGCUUGACAUGCUAGGCCAGCCGAGUUAAAAAACCUAAGUUACCUGGGCAUAGAGAUGUAGUCGAGGAGGGUUUAGUGGGUUAGCCCUUGAUAAGGUCGGAGUAUGCCCGGAUGAAAGCUAAUGGAUUGUGUGACCCUUAUGUAUGAUGAAUAGUCUAUAGAGACAAGACUAAAACCUCAUCGUUGUAUCAUCACACGAAAUGUAAAUAAAUAGCCAUAUUGAUAAAGUAAUCCACCAUUGAGGGUGAAGUAUGUACAUGUGCGAGAGAAUACCCCUAUGCACCAUAGUGUCAUAAUUGCAUCAUGGUAUGGCAGAUCAUGGUUUGUCUCUAGGGGAGAAUCUGAAAUCUACAGAUUGUGAUUUUCUCCCCUAGUCAAUUGAUUGACUUUGGCGAUCCAAUCAUAAACCCCUGCAAUGGACUGUAAAUCAUGGGAACUGCUAGGUUAGUUUGAGAAAAAGCUAGUGUGGAUCGUAGUCAACAGUUGAACGUAGAGUGCUCCUAUGCGUUGAUUAAAUCCUAAACCUAUUUGGAUUCGACUCCUAUCAAAAUUAAUUUAAUUUAAUUAAUUUUAUGUUAUUUGAUUUUUAGAUUGCUUAUUUAAUUUUUAUGAAUUUUUUGAUAUUUUAAUUUUGUCAUUUGGAUUUAUAAAUCAAGAGAAAUUCAUUUAUAAAGUUUUAAAUGAACUAAGAGGUUUGAAAAUUUUGAAAAUCAAUUUUUUUAUUGUUUAUAAAAUAUGUGGGAUUCCAUAAUUAUUGGAAGCCCAUUAAAAUCUCAUGAGAUAAUUGGGUGGGGCCCAUGAGUGGCCAUCAAAGGGUGGCACGCCCCACCUAUAGGGGAUUGCCUUUUCUUGCUAAAUAUGGCGAGAGGCAUCCCAUCCUAGUUGGCUUUCCAUUUUGGAGAGAAGCCUACUUGCAUUAAGGAAUGAUAAUAUUGAGUUUUAGAAUAUCUUGUUAAUCAAGAAAGUUUUAUUUGAAAAGUAAGGAAUAAAUAUUUACUAAUAAAAAAAUAAAAAGAUAAUUUCCUUAUUUAACUUAUUUGAUGGGAAUAGGUUUAUGAAGGGGAGGAUAUGAUUCUAGCACCUUCCUUAGCAUCUUGAUGGUGGAUCUAUAGAAUUGAUGGCUCACAUCUCUCAUCCCACAAAUCUCACUAAAUCGACGGUUAAGAUCUGCUCCUACGAUUUUAUGGCAAACCGUAAUGCAUUAAAAAUCUAUAAACGAGAUCAUUCUCCAUUGUCUCUACAGUUCUUACUUAUUCUCACUUCCCUCUCUAAAAUAUUCUCUUUCUCUCAAACCUCUCUAAGGGGCAUGUCCCACAUAAGUUGUCUCUCUCUCACUCCAAGAAACCUAAGGGAAAACGCCCCACCCUAGCCUACCUCUCUUUCUCUCUCUCUCUCUCUCAAACUAUCCUAAGGGGGCACACCCCAACCUAGCAAGUCUCUCUCUCUUUAUUGUUGGUUCUAAGGAAACACGCCCAAGCUAGUCUAGGUCAGUUUGAAUCUCUCUCUCAUGGGUUCUAAAUCAAGCUAAUUUCGUUAUAACAUUUUGUGGGUAGCAAAGGGAUCAUCCCUAGUUGGUAGUUUUCUUUCUCAUUUCUAGAUUUCUAGAUCUUAUAAGGAUCAAGCCAAGGGGGUUAAAUUAGGUCUAAGCAUUGAGGCUUUAGAUAGGUGGCUCUAGAUCGAGUUCCAUGUGCAUUGAUUAGGUUUUGCCAUAAAAAUGAGAAAUCAAGAGACCGAUCAAAGAUCCCGAGUACCAUCGAAAAGAGGAGACUCGACGUGGGGUGUACUAAGCCCGAUUGAAAUAAUCUCCAGCACCCUCUUUUGCUUAUUUCAUAUUUAUUUAUUGUGUAUUUUAUUCUCAAGCAUAGAUUGUGUCUUUUUCUUUGUUAUUAAAAGAAAGGUUUUGAAUGGCUUCAAGUUCUUAAGAUCCUAAUGUAUUAUUUUAUUUGAAGUUAUUAUAUUGUAAAAAGACUACUUGUAAGUGAUCUAGACCAUGAAGAAAAGAAAAAGAAAGAAAAAAAUUGCUAUAUACUCCAGCUAGAUCACAUAUAUCCUUCUUUUAUAGAAUGACUAGCUCACGGCCCCACACACCUCUUCUACAUUAUAAUUUAAUAUUCAAAGAUAUUCAAACCUAGAAAGUUCUAACUUCAAUACGAAAUUCGCAUCAAUUUUACUCAUACGAAGAGUAACCUGUGAAGAGUUCCCAUCAAUAAUACCCAUGAGAAGUACCAAUAAUUAGCAUAUAAACAUUGAGAAAAUCUAGUAUACUUAAAAACUUCAAAACUAUAAAAAUAAAACCUAAAACUUAAAUUAAAAUACGCAUCCUUUGAAAUUAAAAAAAAAUUAAAAAUAACAAUAAUUUGAUCCUGGAUCAUUCUCCUCUUAUUAGAGAAAACUCAUCCUAAAGUUCAAACGUAGGCUAAGAUGAAUUCCACAUCAGUUCCAUAAUCUUCUUCAACCCAUAUAUUAUGCUUUGAAUUCUUAGACUUGUUGUUUACUGGGGAAAUCAAAAUACAACAAUUAUACAUUGAUGUUGGAUCUUUGAAAUCAAUUGACAUAUUUAUAAAUACUUUAGAAAAAUCGUCAAGGAAAUGAUCAUUGUAUGUUGAAGAUGCACCUUACCACUACAGCUAUGGAUUUUAUAAAUACUUGAUUUUAAAAUGGUUAAAAUCAAGUAUGGUUACCUCAAAAAUGGUUAAAAUCAAGUAUUUAUAAAUUUAUAAAAUCAUUAUAAAUUUUAUAAUUAAAAUCAAGUAUUUAUUACAUCUAAUUAUAAAUUUUUUAAUUUAAAAAUGGUUAAAAUCAAGUAGAUCUAUAAACAUAUGAAAAUAUUGACUAUGGACGGUGUAGAUAGUAUGUUGUAAAAUGCACUAUUUCUAAGACUUAAAAUCUUUUUAUUUUUCAUGGUCAUACAUCUCGAUGUUGAGAUGAUCAAUCAAAGGGUUU